UGUUCGCCCAUUAAAGCGGUACGCGAGCUGGGUUCAGAACGUCGUGAGACAGUUCGGUCCCUAUCCGUCGUGGGCGUAGGAAAUUUGAGAGGAGCUGUCCUUAGUACGAGAGGACCGGGAUGGACAUACCUCUGGUGUACCAGUUGUCGUGCCAACGGCAUAGCUGGGUAGCUAUGUAUGGACGGGAUAAGUGCUGAAAGCAUCUAAGCAUGAAGCCCCCCUCAAGAUGAGAUUUCCCAACUUCGGUUACAAGA
This 254-nucleotide ribosomal RNA is filed under the name Staphylococcus epidermidis. RNAcentral describes it as "partial 23S ribosomal RNA". It matches the Rfam family "Bacterial large subunit ribosomal RNA", at positions 2578 to 2833 of the family's 2925-position model. The record is from RNAcentral. Lineage: Bacteria; Bacillati; Bacillota; Bacilli; Caryophanales; Staphylococcaceae.